GCCCUAACCAGAUCUCAGAAAAUUUCCAUUUUCAUAACUCAUUCGAUAGAGUCGAUCUGUUUAUUGAGGUCUUAAGCAGGCAAUGGAUACCCAUCUUCCGAAAGUCGACUUCGUCUGAUUCUGCCCUAACCCUAGCGUGUCUCUUCACAAGUUAAUGACCUAAACCCGAUAGGUUUCUUCUGAAAACCUUCAAGGAAGCCAAAGUUGAGGCAGAUCUUCGUAUUUCUUCAUCAAAGGUUGAUUUUUUAAAGGUUUCUAGAAACUGAAGUGGAGCUUCCUUAAUCAAUCACAGGAGUUAUGGCCGAGUCAAGCUACCACACUUUUACUGUUGCAGUGGAGAUAGAGAGGGAUCAGAGGUAGGGAAUUAGUCAGCUUUUUGUCCAUGUUUGCUGCAAAUGAAGCUAGACAUUAUGGUCCAAGCAACUGAAUCAUGAAGUUCCAUCGAUAUAUACGGACUUUUUGAAGAAACCAACUUUCUAGCAUUCAUAGAUUACUUGGGAACUAUUUUUGAGGCGAUUGGAGGUCUCAAAAUUCGGGCAUGUGCAACCCCAAAUUGUGCAACAACUAAAUGGGUAGAUUACUUUAACUGUUAUUAUUUUACGUAUCAUUAAAUAUGCGGUACUGAUGUAUUUGUCUUUUAUGCUUGAUGUAUGCAUAUGAUUGGUGUAAUGCAAUUAGUGGUGUAGAUAUGAUUGUGGCAUGUUCGCAAUCAAGUACAUGGAACAUUGGAACGGGGCAACACUAGCACAUUCAAUCGCGGAGAUGCAUCUAUAUCGAUUGAGGCUGGUCGUUACUUUGGUUACUAAUGCGGCAAACAAUGCUAGAGAUAAGGUCUUGAAGGCAUGUCGAAUUUGAUUAAUAGAGGCCACCUUAGACAAGCAAGGUCAAUGAUGGAACUGUACUUGCAUGAAAGUGGGGCUGGUGGUGUCGGCAGUGCAUAAUCAGAAGAAUCUAGAUGUGGUUUGUAAGCUGGGAAAGCACUGAAAAAAAAAAAGAACAAGAAAAGACCAAGGUUCUCCUCAUUAAUGCGAUCUCACUUGCACAUGCCAGUUGCUGUGAAACAGUGUAAGGUGAAAUGCCCUGAUGAACUCUCCAAGAUGGUUGUGAUUAAAGACAAUUUUUGAGGACAUAAGUUGGGGCAAACAAUUAUUUCUGUCAGUACGAAAAAUAGUGCAGGAAUGUUACACAAAGCACUUGUGGAUUUUUGAGUAAUUUUUUAUUCCCUGUACUGAUAAUGAAUUUCCAUUAUGGUAAUUGCUUCGAAUUUGUCUGUGAAGGUGAAUUUGGACGUCAACUAUGAUAUGCUGCUUAAAUAUGGGACACAGGCAGAGCCUGACUAUGAGGUGUACUUGCAUAGAAAUGGGAGGGCAUGACGUUUUGGCCGCAGAGGGAGCUGUUUUUAAUUGGUUGUGCAGUGAGAAAGACAACAUCCUGAUCUUAAAAAUUGAAAAUCAUUUUGGGGUUCAGAUAGUAGAGGACAAGAUGCAUCUAUAUCGAUUGAGGCUGGUCGUUACCUUGGUUACUAGUGCCGCAAACAAUGCUAGAGAGAAGGUCAUGAAAGCAUGUCAAAUGUGAUUAAUAGAGGCCACCUACAACAUGGAAGGUCACUGAUGGGACCUUACUUGCAUGAGAGUGGAGCUGGUGGUGCCGGCAGUCCAUAAUCAGAAGGUGGAGCCGUCUAUGUUAUUGCGAUGCUCAAAUCAGUUUUAGGUUACACUAUUAUAUCUACUACAUUUUCUGUGUUUUAGAUAAAACUACUUCUUAGCUUCAUGUCACCUUCUUUUCCCUUCUUUUUAUUCUCAUCAUUAUUGGUAUUAUUAUUAUUAUUAUC
Vitis riparia (riverbank grape) is the source of this 1831-nucleotide long non-coding RNA. RefSeq lists it as uncharacterized. NCBI's taxonomy places the organism in Eukaryota, Viridiplantae, Streptophyta, Magnoliopsida, Vitales, Vitaceae. The record is from RefSeq and is a predicted model, not a curated record. The transcript is spliced from 9 exons.